UGGAGAGAUGGCUGAGUGGUCGAUAGCGGCAGAUUGCUAAUCUGUUGUAUGAUUCAAUUCAUACCGAGGGUUCGAAUCCCUCUCUCUCCGU
RNAcentral lists this transfer RNA (91 nucleotides) under Cyanophora biloba. Its description in RNAcentral is "tRNA-Ser". It matches the Rfam family "tRNA". From Rfam's summary of the family: Transfer RNA (tRNA) molecules are approximately 80 nucleotides in length. Their secondary structure includes four short double-helical elements and three loops (D, anti-codon, and T loops). The record is from RNAcentral. Lineage: Eukaryota; Glaucocystophyceae; Cyanophorales; Cyanophoraceae.